RNAcentral lists this unclassified non-coding RNA (206 nucleotides) under uncultured Pyrrhoderma. RNAcentral describes it as "sequence contains ITS2". Lineage: Eukaryota; Fungi; Basidiomycota; Agaricomycetes; Hymenochaetales; Hymenochaetaceae. The record is from RNAcentral.
AAUUCUCAACCUCACCAGUUUUGUAACGAGACCGGUGAAGGCUUGGAUGUGGGGGUUUUGCAGGCUGCCUCAGUGCUGGUCUGCUCCCCUGAAAUGCAUUAGCGAGCUCAUACUGAGCUUCCGUCUAUUGGUGUGAUAAUUAUCUAUGCCGUGGAUUGGAACUCAUGCUUGCUUCUAACCGUCCGCAAGGACAAAUUACUUGACCA